GAAUAACCGAAUAGCGUUCCAUAUAAGAACUGCCUCGACACAAUCCGUCGCAGUGAUGAUUUAGACGACGACGAUAGACAUCGAUAUUGGAUCAGAUCUAUCCAGGUUUUCCUAAUUUAAUGACUUCUCUCACUCGACUGCGAUGAACUUAUUCAAACGAUUGCGAAGCACAUCGGAGCCAAAUUAUUUGACGCGUCUUCUCACAAUUUCCGGGUUUGGGGAGUGCGCCUUGGUAACUUAGCAUCUUAUGGAUUACUAACAUGCUAAGUCGUCGAAAGUCGUCGAGCUCCGAGGGGUGUGUCGACUUUCUAGACCGACGAUCAUGAAGAACCGCUGAAGCGAAACCGCAUGUGUUUUAUUACAACUUUAAUUGCAAGUAUCCUCUUACGGCUGUACUUUACGCUAAUUGUAACCAGGGAAAAUGUAAAAUAUUGUUUUGCGAUUAUACAUGUAAUUGCCUUUAAGGACUUUUUGCUGUUCAUUACAUCAUGUAUCGAUGGAAAAUGUUAUUAGGUUCAUUUCAUCGUUCAAAAAAGGUUCAUUUCAUCGUUCAAAAAAAAAAAAAACGAAUUUUAUUUUUUGAUCAUUCGCGUUGUACAAACCCGGAUAUUGCAAAUUAUUAUGGACACGUCAAAUAACAAAGUGAAUUUAUUUUUGUGAUAAAUUUUAGUUUUGCA
Camponotus floridanus (Florida carpenter ant) is the source of this 677-nucleotide long non-coding RNA. RefSeq lists it as uncharacterized. The transcript is spliced from 4 exons. The record is from RefSeq and is a predicted model, not a curated record. NCBI's taxonomy places the organism in Eukaryota, Metazoa, Arthropoda, Insecta, Hymenoptera, Formicidae.